ACUCAAAUGAAUUGACGGGGGCCCGCACAAGCGGUGGAGCAUGUGGUUUAAUUCGAUGCAACGCGAAGAACCUUACCUACCCUUGACAUCCUGCGAAGUAUAUAGAGAUAUGUGCGUGCCGAAAGGAACGCAGAGACAGGUGCUGCAUGGCUGUCGUCAGCUCGUGUUGUGAGAUGUUGGGUUAAGUCCCGUAACGAGCGCAACCCUUGUCCUUAGUUGCCAACAUGUAAUGGUGGGGACUCUAAGGAGACUGCUGGUGAAGAACCGGAGGAAGGCGGGGACGACGUCAAGUCAUCAUGGCCUUUAUGGGUAGGGCCACACACGUGCUACAAUGGGACGUACAGAGGGGAGCCAACCUGCGAAGGGGAGCCAAUCUCAGAAAACGUCUCGUAGUCCGGAUUGGAGUCUGCAACUCGACUCCAUGAAGUUGGAAUCGCUAGUAAUCGCGAAUCAGAACGUCGCGGUGAAUACGUUCCCGGGCCUUGUACACACCGCCCGU
This 499-nucleotide ribosomal RNA is filed under the name uncultured bacterium. Its description in RNAcentral is "partial 16S ribosomal RNA". It matches the Rfam family "Bacterial small subunit ribosomal RNA", at positions 899 to 1397 of the family's 1533-position model. The record is from RNAcentral.